GAUGAACGCUGGCGGCGUGCCUAAUACAUGCAAGUUGAGCGAACAGACGAGGAGCUUGCUCCUCUGACGUUAGCGGCGGACGGGUGAGUAACACGUGGAUAACCUACCUAUAAGACUGGGAUAACUUCGGGAAACCGGAGCUAAUACCGGAUAACAUGUUGAACCGCAUGGUUCAACAGUGAAAGACGGUCUUGCUGUCACUUAUAGAUGGAUCCGCGCCGCAUUAGCUAGUUGGUAAGGUAACGGCUUACCAAGGCAACGAUGCGUAGCCGACCUGAGAGGGUGAUCGGCCACACUGGAACUGAGACACGGUCCAGACUCCUACGGGAGGCAGCAGUAGGGAAUCUUCCGCAAUGGGCGAAAGCCUGACGGAGCAACGCCGCGUGAGUGAAGAAGGUCUUCGGAUCGUAAAACUCUGUUAUUAGGGAAGAACAAAUGUGUAAGUAACUAUGCACGUCUUGACGGUACCUAAUCAGAAAGCCACGGCUAACUACGUG
RNAcentral lists this ribosomal RNA (497 nucleotides) under uncultured bacterium. RNAcentral's name for it is "partial 16S ribosomal RNA". It matches the Rfam family "Bacterial small subunit ribosomal RNA", at positions 28 to 507 of the family's 1533-position model. The record is from RNAcentral.